Molecule: non-coding RNA, 540 nt
Organism: Galeopterus variegatus (Sunda flying lemur)
Lineage: Eukaryota; Metazoa; Chordata; Mammalia; Dermoptera; Cynocephalidae
Source: the annotation of a RefSeq genome assembly
AUGAGACUGUGGGGUCUUCUCCUUUGCCUGGAGACAGCUCCCCAAGGUGUCCUGUCCGAUGUGCAGCUGCAGGAGUCGGGCCCAGGACUGGUGAAGCCCUCACAGACCCUCUCCCUCACCUGCACCGUCUCUGGAUUCUCCAUCACAACCAGUGGUUAUGGUUGGGGCUGGAUCCGCCAGCCCACGGGGAAGAGCCUUGAGUGGAUGGGAUACACUAGUUAUGGUGGAAGCACAUAUUAUAACCCGUCGCUCAAGAGCCACACCUCCAUCACCAGAGACACGUCCAAGAACCAGUUCUCCCUGCAGCUGAGCUCUGUGACCGACGAAGACACAGGCGUGUAUUACUGUGCGAGAGACACAGGAGCAGGAGGAUUCUUUUAUGAUAUUUUCAUUGAGAACCUCAUCGCACUGCUGAGAUAUGUAAGAAGAGUUACUGAUUUUCAGUCUGUUCAGUCAUUUUCUUGUUGUCUGGAUGGGAGUGAUGACGUCCAAGCUUCUUACGUGCGAGACCUGAAGCCAGACCCCUUAUGUCGCACCUGA